UCUCUCUCACACACACUAUCUCUCUCUUUCUCUCUCUCUCACUCUCUCUCUCACACACACACUAUCUCUCUCUU
Non-coding RNA from Pangasianodon gigas (Mekong giant catfish), 74 nucleotides. NCBI's taxonomy places the organism in Eukaryota, Metazoa, Chordata, Actinopteri, Siluriformes, Pangasiidae. The record is from the annotation of a GenBank genome assembly.